Molecule: ribosomal RNA, 253 nt
Filed under: uncultured bacterium
Lineage: Bacteria
Description: partial 16S ribosomal RNA
Rfam family: Bacterial small subunit ribosomal RNA
Source: RNAcentral
UACGUAGGGCGCAAGCGUUGUCCGGAAUUAUUGGGCGUAAAGAGCUCGUAGGCGGUUUGUCGCGUCGGCUGUGAAAACCCGAGGCUCAACCUCGGGCCUGCAGUCGAUACGGGCAGACUAGAGUGUGGUAGGGGAGACUGGAAUUCCUGGUGUAGCGGUGAAAUGCGCAGAUAUCAGGAGGAACACCGGUGGCGAAGGCGGGUCUCUGGGCCGUAACUGACGCUGAGGAGCGAAAGCAUGGGGAGCGAACAGG